Molecule: ribosomal RNA, 502 nt
Filed under: uncultured bacterium
Lineage: Bacteria
Description: partial 16S ribosomal RNA
Rfam family: Bacterial small subunit ribosomal RNA
Source: RNAcentral
GACGAACGCUGGCGGCGUGCCUAAUACAUGCAAGUCGAACGAACCGCGACUAGGUGCUUGCACUUGGUCAAGGUGAGUGGCGAACGGGUGAGUAACACGUGGGUAACCUACCUCAUAGUGGGGGAUAACAGUCGGAAACGACUGCUAAUACCGCAUAGGACAUAGGAUCACAUGAUUCUGUGAGGAAAGGUGGCGCAAGCUAUCGCUAAGAGAUGGACCCGCGGUGCAUUAGCUAGUUGGUAGGGUAAAGGCCUACCAAGGCGAUGAUGCAUAGCCGACCUGAGAGGGUGAUCGGCCACAUUGGGACUGAGACACGGCCCAAACUCCUACGGGAGGCAGCAGUAGGGAAUCUUCCGCAAUGGACGCAAGUCUGACGGAGCAACGCCGCGUGAGUGAAGAAGGUCUUCGGAUCGUAAAGCUCUGUUGUUAGAGAAGAACAGCGCAUAGAGUAACUGUUAUGCGUGUGACGGUACCUAACCAGAAAGCCACGGCUAACUACGUG